GUGAGAUAAUGGGUCUAAUGACAGCUGUAGCGAUCACAGCUGGGGCAGGAUGGAGUAAACAACUAGAGGGCUUUUGAGGCAGUUAGAACAGGGUAAAAUGGUCAAUUUGUAUAGCUUUACUCAGUCCCUAAGGACCCCAAAGCACUUUACAGUCAUUCACCCAUUGGAAAUAGCAAGCUACAUUGCAGCCACAUCUGCCCUGGGGCGCACUGACAGAGGCGAGGUUGCCGGACACUGGCGCCACCGGACCCUCUGACGACCACCAGUAGGCAAACAUGGGGUUAGUAUCUUGCCCAAGGAUAUUUGGCCCAAGGAUAUUUUAGGAGGCAGCCUGGGAUCGAAACACCGAC
Astatotilapia calliptera (eastern happy) is the source of this 350-nucleotide long non-coding RNA. Lineage: Eukaryota; Metazoa; Chordata; Actinopteri; Cichliformes; Cichlidae. The record is from Ensembl.